GACGAACGCUGGCGGCGUGCUUAACACAUGCAAGUCGAACGGAAAGGCCCUGCUUGCAGGGUGCUCGAGUGGCGAACGGGUGAGUAACACGUGGGUGAUCUGCCCCUUACUUUGGGAUAAGCCUGGGAAACUGGGUCUAAUACUGGAUAGGACCAUGCUGUAGGUGGUGUGGUGGAAAGAUUAGUUUCUGUAAGGGAUGAGCUCGCGGCCUAUCAGCUUGUUGGUGGGGUAAUGGCCUACCAAGGCGUCGACGGGUAGCCGGCCUGAGAGGGUGGACGGCGACAUUGGGACUGAGAUACGGCCCAGACGCCUUCGGGAGGCAGCAGUGGGGAAUAGUGCACAAUGGGCGCAAGCCGGAUGCAGCGACGCCGCGGGGGGGAUGACGGCCUUCGGGUUGUAAACUCCUUUCAGCCAUGACGAAGCCCUUGUGGUGACGGUAGUGGUAGAAGAAGCACCGGCUAACUACGUG
RNAcentral lists this ribosomal RNA (469 nucleotides) under uncultured bacterium. RNAcentral describes it as "partial 16S ribosomal RNA". It matches the Rfam family "Bacterial small subunit ribosomal RNA", at positions 28 to 507 of the family's 1533-position model. The record is from RNAcentral.